UACGUAGGGCGCAAGCGUAUCCGGAAUAUUUGGGCGUAAAGAGCUCGUAGGCGGUUUUGUCGCGUCUGCCGUGAAAGUCCGGGGCUCAACUCCGGAUCUGCGGUGGGUACGGGGCAGACUAGAGUGAUGUAGGGGAGACUGGAAUUCCUGGUGUAGCGGUGAAAUGCGCAGAUAUCAGGAGGAACACCGAUGGCGAAGGCAGGUCUCUGGGCAUUAACUACGCUGAGGAGCGAAAAGCAUGGGGAGCGA
This 249-nucleotide ribosomal RNA is filed under the name uncultured bacterium. RNAcentral describes it as "partial 16S ribosomal RNA". It matches the Rfam family "Bacterial small subunit ribosomal RNA", at positions 524 to 771 of the family's 1533-position model. The record is from RNAcentral.